CGGGGAGUGGCCCAGCGGAAGGGCGCCUGCUUUGGGAGCAGGAGGUCGCGAGUUCGAUCCUCGCCUCCCCGACCA
This 75-nucleotide transfer RNA is filed under the name Chloroflexota bacterium. Its description in RNAcentral is "tRNA-Pro". It matches the Rfam family "tRNA". From Rfam's summary of the family: Transfer RNA (tRNA) molecules are approximately 80 nucleotides in length. Their secondary structure includes four short double-helical elements and three loops (D, anti-codon, and T loops). Lineage: Bacteria; Bacillati; Chloroflexota. The record is from RNAcentral.